Long non-coding RNA from Sapajus apella (tufted capuchin), 102 nucleotides. RefSeq lists it as uncharacterized. The record is from RefSeq and is a predicted model, not a curated record. The transcript is spliced from 3 exons. NCBI's taxonomy places the organism in Eukaryota, Metazoa, Chordata, Mammalia, Primates, Cebidae.
CUCACAGUUUACCUCUGGCAAGCCAUGAACACUCCCUGGGCCCGAGUUUUUCAUGGGAAGAUGGCAUCCCAAGCACUCGAAUUUCAUGGCAUCCCAAGAACU